Molecule: long non-coding RNA, 330 nt
Filed under: Homo sapiens (human)
Lineage: Eukaryota; Metazoa; Chordata; Mammalia; Primates; Hominidae
Description: HSALNT0384304
Source: RNAcentral
ACUCUUCUGUGUCCCACAGACCUCGGGAAGGGACUCUUCAGCUGCAGCGACCCAGGCCCUGGACUUGUCGCCAUCGGCAGGAUCUUCAGCCAGCUCCUCCGACAGGGCACAGUAUUUCUUAGGGCAACAGAAUCGUCGGGAUGAAGAGGGCCUCCAGAGACUCUGAUAAACCCUUCAGGCGGACAAGACAAUAGGGGAGGGAACGGCAUUACCGGCAGAAGGAAGAGCAUGUACAGUAGCUCAAAGGAAUGAACCGCCCAACAGGUUUAAGGGAAGAAAGUGUCAGUUGCUGGACUCUCCGGUGAAAACGGACCAGACAAUGCAGGGCCC